Molecule: ribosomal RNA, 482 nt
Filed under: uncultured bacterium
Lineage: Bacteria
Description: partial 16S ribosomal RNA
Rfam family: Bacterial small subunit ribosomal RNA
Source: RNAcentral
AUUGAACGCUGGCGGCAUGCUUUACACAUGCAAGUCGAACGGUAACAGGCCGCAAGGUGCUGUCGAGUGGCGGACGGGCGAGUAAUGCAUCAGAACGUGCCAAGCUGUGGAGGCUAACUACUCGACAGAGUAGCUAAUACCGCAAUCGCUCUAAGGAUGAAAGCGGGGGAGCGUAGGACCUCGCGCGCUCGGACCGGCCGAUGUCGGAUUAGGUAGUUGGUGGGGUAAAGGCUCACCAAGCCAACGAUCUGUAGCUGGUCUGAGAGGACGAGCAGCCACACUGGAACUGAGACACGGCCCAGACUCCUACGGGAGGCAGCAGUGGGGAAUAUUGGACAAUGGGCGCAAGCCUGAUCCAGCAAUGCCGCGUGCAGGAAGAAGGCCUUCGGGUUGUAAACUGCUUUUGUACGGAACGAAACGGCUCUGGUUAAUACCCGGGGCUAAUGACGGUACCGUAAGAAUAAGCACCGGCUAACUUCGUG